RNAcentral lists this ribosomal RNA (605 nucleotides) under Fusarium solani. RNAcentral's name for it is "eukaryotic LSU rRNA". It matches the Rfam family "Eukaryotic large subunit ribosomal RNA", at positions 1 to 635 of the family's 3401-position model. Lineage: Eukaryota; Fungi; Ascomycota; Sordariomycetes; Hypocreales; Nectriaceae. The record is from RNAcentral.
UGACCUCGAAUCAGGUAGGAAUACCGCUGAACUUAAGCAUUCAAUAAGCGGAGGAAAAGAAACCAACAGGGAUGCCCCAGUAACGGCGAGUGAACGGCCACAGCUCAAAUUUGAAAUCUGGCUCUCGGGCCCGAGUUGUAAUUUGUAGAGGAUGCUUUGGUGAGGUGCCUCCGAGUUCCCUGGAACGGGACGCCAUAGAGGGUGAGAGCCCCGUCUGGUUGGACACCGAUCCUCUGUAAAGCUCCUUCGACGAGUCGAGUAGUUUGGGAAUGCUGCUCUAAAUGGGAGGUAUAUGUCUUCUAAAGCUAAAUACCGGCCAGAGACCGAUAGCGCACAAGUAGAGUGAUCGAAAGAUGAAAAGAACUUUGAAAAGAGAGUUAAAAAGUACGUGAAAUUGUUGAAAGGGAAGCGCUUGUGACCAGACUUGGGCUUGGUUGAUCAUCCGGGGUUCUCCCCGGUGCACUCUUCCGGCUCAGGCCAGCAUCAGUUCGCCCUGGGGGAUAAAGGCUUCGGGAAUGUGGCUCUCUCCGGGGAGUGUUAUAGCCCGCUGCGUAAUACCCUGUGGCGGACUGAGGUUCGCGCAUUCGCAAGGAUGCUGGUGUAAU